UACGUAGGGAGCAAGCGUUGUCCGGAAUCAUUGGGCGUAAAGCGCGCGUAGGUGGCUUCGUAAGUCCGUUGUGAAAGUCAAAGGCUCAACCUUUGAAUGCCGAUGGAUACUGCGGAGCUAGAGUACGGAAGAGGCGAGUGGAAUUCCUGGUGUAGCGGUGGAAUGCGCAGAUAUCAGGAGGAACACCAAUAGCGAAGGCAGCUCGCUGGGACGUUACUGACACUAAGGCGCGAAAGCAUGGGGAGCGAACAGG
RNAcentral lists this ribosomal RNA (253 nucleotides) under uncultured bacterium. Its description in RNAcentral is "partial 16S ribosomal RNA". It matches the Rfam family "Bacterial small subunit ribosomal RNA", at positions 524 to 776 of the family's 1533-position model. The record is from RNAcentral.